AGGACGAACGCUGGCGGCGUGCUUAACACAUGCAAGUCGAGCGAGGCCCUUCCUUCGGGAAGGUGCCCUAGCGGCGAACGGGUGAGUAACACGUGGGCAACCUGCCUCUAGCACUGGGAUAACUCCGGGAAACCGGGGCUAAUACCGGAUAUGACCUCCGAGGGCAUCCUUGGUGGUGUAAAGGAUUCUGGCUAGAGAUGGGCCCGCGGCCUAUCAGCUUGUUGGUGGGGUAACGCCUACCAAGGCGACGACGGGUAGCCGGCCUGAGAGGGCGACCGGCCACACUGGGACUGAGACACGGCCCAGACUCCUACGGGAGGCAGCAGUGGGGAAUAUUGCACAAUGGGCGAAAGCCUGAUGCAGCGACGCCGCGUGAGGGAUGAAGGCCUUCGGGUUGUAAACCUCUUUCAGCAGGGACGAAGCGAAAGUGACGGUACCUGCAGAAGAAGCACCGGCCAACUACGCGCCAGCAGCCGC
This 477-nucleotide ribosomal RNA is filed under the name uncultured bacterium. RNAcentral's name for it is "SSU rRNA". It matches the Rfam family "Bacterial small subunit ribosomal RNA", at positions 26 to 518 of the family's 1533-position model. The record is from RNAcentral.